GACGAACGCUGGCGGCGUGCCUAAUACAUGCAAGUAGAACGCUGAAGGAGGAGCUUGCUUCUCUGGAUGAGUUGCGAACGGGUGAGUAACGCGUAGGUAACCUGCCUGGUAGCGGGGGAUAACUAUUGGAAACGAUAGCUAAUACCGCAUAAGAGUAGAUGUUGCAUGACAUUUGCUUAAAAGGUGCAAUUGCAUCACUACCAGAUGGACCUGCGUUGUAUUAGCUAGUUGGUGAGGUAACGGCUCACCAAGGCAACGAUACAUAGCCGACCUGAGAGGGUGAUCGGCCACACUGGGACUGAGACACGGCCCAGACUCCUACGGGAGGCAGCAGUAGGGAAUCUUCGGCAAUGGACGGAAGUCUGACCGAGCAACGCCGCGUGAGUGAAGAAGGUUUUCGGAACGUAAAGCUCUGUUGUAAGAGAAGAACGAGUGUGAGAGUGGAAAGUUCACACUGUGACGGUAUCUUACCAGAAAGGGACGGCUAACUACGUG
RNAcentral lists this ribosomal RNA (495 nucleotides) under uncultured bacterium. RNAcentral's name for it is "partial 16S ribosomal RNA". It matches the Rfam family "Bacterial small subunit ribosomal RNA", at positions 28 to 507 of the family's 1533-position model. The record is from RNAcentral.